GUCUACGGCCAUGCCACCCUGAGCGUGCCUGAUCUUGUCUGAUCUUGGAAGCUAAGCAGGGUCGGGCCUGGUUAGGACUUGGAUGGGAGACCACCUAGGAAGACCAGUUGCUGUAGGCG
RNAcentral lists this ribosomal RNA (119 nucleotides) under Pteropus alecto (black flying fox). The record is from RNAcentral. Lineage: Eukaryota; Metazoa; Chordata; Mammalia; Chiroptera; Pteropodidae.